Molecule: ribosomal RNA, 468 nt
Filed under: uncultured bacterium
Lineage: Bacteria
Description: partial 16S ribosomal RNA
Rfam family: Bacterial small subunit ribosomal RNA
Source: RNAcentral
GAUGAACGCUGGCGGCGUGCUUAACACAUGCAAGUCGAACGGAAAGGCCGAAGCUUGCUUCGGUACUCGAGUGGCGAACGGGUGAGUAACACGUGGGUGAUCUGCCCUGUACUUCGGGAUAAGCUUGGGAAACUGGGUCUAAUACCGGAUAUGACGAUCUCUUGGAUGGGGUUGUGGAAAGCUUUUGCGGUAUGGGAUGAGCUCGCGGCCUAUCAGCUUGUUGGUGGGGUAAUGGCCUACCAAGGCGUCGACGGGUAGCCGGCCGCUGAGGGUGUACGGCGACAUUGGAACUGAGAUACGGCCCAGACUCCUACGUGAGGCAGCAGGGGGGAGUAGUGCACAAUGGGCGCUAGCCUGAUGCAGCGACGCCGCGUGGGGGAUGACUGCCUUCGGGUUGUAAACUCCUUUCGCAAUCGACGAAGCCUUUUGGUGACGGUAGGUUGAGAAGAAGCACCGGCUAACUACGUG